AUACAUGUGCUUUAAGCAAGAGCAUGUAGGGAACUCCUGGAGAUCCUUUGAAAACUGCAACUCUAGGAACUCAAGAUCAUUCAGAUUGUCAUAAUGAGAAUUUGACUGGAGAUGGCAAGGAUCUUGGUAACAAGAUUCCCUGAUGUUAUUGUCCGAUUUCCAGGCCACAUUGAUGUUCAGGAAACACUAGUUGACUUUGUAAAUGGUUCUGAAACAGAGAUAGAUAUUCCUGCAAACUUUGAAUAGUAUGUGUCCAGUCCCCAAACUAGCAUAUUACGUCAAAUUUAUUUUUAUAAAUUCUCUAACUUCUUUCUGGAAUGCAGAGGUUGGAUAUAUAUAUAU
Ipomoea nil (Japanese morning glory) is the source of this 342-nucleotide long non-coding RNA. RefSeq lists it as uncharacterized. The transcript has 3 exons. The record is from RefSeq and is a predicted model, not a curated record. Lineage: Eukaryota; Viridiplantae; Streptophyta; Magnoliopsida; Solanales; Convolvulaceae.